GCGAAAAGAACCCCGGCGAGGGGAGUGAAAAAGAACCUGAAACCGUGUACGUACAAGCAGUGGGAGCACGCUUAGGCGUGUGACUGCGUACCUUUUGUAUAAUGGGUCAGCGACUUAUAUUCUGUAGCAAGGUUAACCGAAUAGGGGAGCCGAAGGGAAACCGAGUCUUAACUGGGCGUUAAGUUGCAGGGUAUAGACCCGAAACCCGGUGAUCUAGCCAUGGGCAGGUUGAAGGUUGGGUAACACUAACUGGAGGACCGAACCGACUAAUGUUGAAAAAUUAGCGGAUGACUUGUGGCUGGGGGUGAAAGGCCAAUCAAACCGGGAGAUAGCUGGUUCUCCCCGAAAGCUAUUUAGGUAGCGCCUCGUGAAUUCAUCUCCGGGGGUAGAGCACUGUUUCGGCAAGGGGGUCAUCCCGACUUACCAACCCGAUGCAAACUGCGAAUACCGGAGAAUGUUAUCACGGGAGACACACGGCGGGUGCUAACGUCCGUCGUGAAGAGGGAAACAACCCAGACCGCC
Molecule: ribosomal RNA, 522 nt
Filed under: Escherichia coli
Lineage: Bacteria; Pseudomonadati; Pseudomonadota; Gammaproteobacteria; Enterobacterales; Enterobacteriaceae
Also listed under: 1 other name
Description: partial 23S ribosomal RNA
Rfam family: Bacterial large subunit ribosomal RNA
Source: RNAcentral